AGUAACGCGUGGAUAACCUGCCUCACACUGGGGGAUAACAGUUAGAAAUGACUGCUAAUACCGCAUAAGCGCACGCUACCGCAUGGUAGCGUGUGAAAAACUCCGGUGGUGUGAGAUGGAUCCGCGUCUGAUUAGCCAGUUGGCGGGGUAACGGCCCACCAAAGCGACGAUCAGUAGCCGACCUGAGAGGGUGACCGGCCACAUUGAGACUGAGACACGGCCCAA
This 225-nucleotide ribosomal RNA is filed under the name uncultured bacterium. RNAcentral's name for it is "partial 16S ribosomal RNA". It matches the Rfam family "Bacterial small subunit ribosomal RNA", at positions 109 to 334 of the family's 1533-position model. The record is from RNAcentral.